AAGGAAUAUUGGGCAAUGGACGCAAGUCUGACCCAGCCAUGCCGCGUGAAGGAAGACGGCCCUAUGGGUUGUAAACUUCUUUUCUCAGGGGGUAAACUUCGGAACGAGUUCCGGACUGAAAGUACCUGAGGAAUAAGCAUCGGCUAACUCCGUGCCAGCAGCCGCGGUAAUACGGAGGAUGCGAGCGUUAUCCGGAUUCAUUGGGUUUAAAGGGUGCGCAGGCGGAUAUAUAAGUCGGAGGUGAAAUUCUGAGGCUCAACAUCAGCCGUGCCUUCGAUACUGUAUAUCUAGAGUCAAGUUGGAGUAGGCGGAAUGUGUUGUGCAGCGGUGAAAUGCUUAGAUAUAACACAGAACACCGAUCGCGAAGGCAGCUUACUAAACUUUGACUGACGCUCAUGCACGAAAGCGUGGGGAUCAAAC
Molecule: ribosomal RNA, 420 nt
Filed under: uncultured bacterium
Lineage: Bacteria
Description: bacterial SSU rRNA
Rfam family: Bacterial small subunit ribosomal RNA
Source: RNAcentral